UUUAUUGGAGAGUUUGAUCCUGGCUCAGGACGAACGCUGGCGGCGUGCCUAAUACAUGCAAGUCGAGCGGACCUUUUAAAAGCUUGCUUUUGAAAGGUCAGCGGCGGACGGGUGAGUAACACGUGGGCAACCUGCCUGUAAGACUGGGAUAACUUCGGGAAACCGGAGCUAAUACCGGAUAAUAUAAGGAACCUCCUGGUUCUUUAUUGAAAGAUGGUUUCGGCU
Molecule: ribosomal RNA, 225 nt
Filed under: Sutcliffiella horikoshii
Lineage: Bacteria; Bacillati; Bacillota; Bacilli; Caryophanales; Bacillaceae
Description: Bacillus horikoshii partial 16S ribosomal RNA
Rfam family: Bacterial small subunit ribosomal RNA
Source: RNAcentral